This 74-nucleotide transfer RNA is filed under the name Limisphaerales bacterium. RNAcentral describes it as "tRNA-Val". It matches the Rfam family "tRNA". Rfam says of the family: Transfer RNA (tRNA) molecules are approximately 80 nucleotides in length. Their secondary structure includes four short double-helical elements and three loops (D, anti-codon, and T loops). RNAcentral also lists the same sequence under 3 other names. The record is from RNAcentral. Lineage: Bacteria; Pseudomonadati; Verrucomicrobiota; Verrucomicrobiia; Limisphaerales.
GGGCGAUUAGCUCAGUUGGUUAGAGCGUUCGGUUCACAUCCGAAAGGUCGCAGGUUCGAGUCCUGCAUUGCCCA